GCCCGACUCAAGAAACUCAAAGGAAGUUGACGGGGCCCGGCACAAGCGGUGGAGUAUGUGGUUUAAUUCGAUGCAACGCGAAGAACCUUACCUGGUCUUGACAUCCCGGAGACCCUUAGGAAACUAGGGGGUGCUUCCAUCUGGAAGAAUCUGGAGACAGGUGCUGCAUGGCUGUCGUCAGCUCGUGUCGUGAGAUGUUGGGUUAAGUCCCGCAACGAGCGCAACCCUUGCCUUUAGUUGCCAGCAGUUCGGCUGGGCACUCUAAAGGGACUGCCGGUGUUAAACCGGAGGAAGGUGGGGAUGACGUCAAGUCCUCAUGGCCUUUAUGACCAGGGCUACACACGUACUACAAUGGCCGAUACAAAGGGCAGCGACACUGCGAGGUGAAGCCAAUCCCGUAAAAUCGGUCUCAGUCCGGAUUGGAGUCUGCAACUCGACUCCAUGAAGUUGGAAUCGCUAGUAAUCGUGGAUCAGCAUGCCACGGUGAAUACGUUCCCGGGCCUU
RNAcentral lists this ribosomal RNA (504 nucleotides) under uncultured Desulfobulbus sp. RNAcentral's name for it is "bacterial SSU rRNA". It matches the Rfam family "Bacterial small subunit ribosomal RNA", at positions 878 to 1382 of the family's 1533-position model. Lineage: Bacteria; Pseudomonadati; Thermodesulfobacteriota; Desulfobulbia; Desulfobulbales; Desulfobulbaceae. The record is from RNAcentral.